ACUCAGGGACUUCUACUCUUGUCUCCAGCAACCUCAUGCAUGCAAUUCACCGCCAGAAGAAUGGACAGUGUGUUUAUUGAACAACUACUCCUUUUCAGUGUUCUUCCUUGGAUUAAAGGACUAGGAGAAAACCCUGCAACCCUGUGAGUCCGCCCGUUUGUUGAAAUCAGUUCAAGAUCAUCCAGGUCUGCAAAACUCGGCUGAAGCAGCUUGUUGCAUAAUUUACCAGAGAAGAGAGGGCCAUCUGGAGAGCCAAUCUGGAGAACUCGAGCAAAGGCAGAGUCUUUUUUUUUCUCCCCCUCUUAAGUUAUCCUUAUUGACUCUCUGCCUAUAUUAGGCCUCCGCACUCCUUGGCCUGCAUUAUGAAAGAUGGCUCUCCAGGUCAAAGGCCUUGGCCUUCUGGCAUCGAACUCUGACAGAGUACUACCUGGCCCACAAAUGCCAGUAGCCGCACCUACUAUAGCUGUUCAAAUCUUUCAGUCAACUCCUACCAGUCUUGCCCCAUGACAUUGUGGGGUCCUGUGUCAUUCCAAAGGACAGCUGGUUUACGCAUAUGCAGAGGAGGCAGCUACCCACAAAGGGAUGUGGGAAAGCUCUACCAAAUGAAAAAAAAUAAAAAAUGAAAAGAAA
Molecule: non-coding RNA, 630 nt
Organism: Heterocephalus glaber (naked mole-rat)
Lineage: Eukaryota; Metazoa; Chordata; Mammalia; Rodentia; Bathyergidae
Source: RefSeq, a predicted model, not a curated record